Molecule: ribosomal RNA, 484 nt
Filed under: uncultured bacterium
Lineage: Bacteria
Description: partial 16S ribosomal RNA
Rfam family: Bacterial small subunit ribosomal RNA
Source: RNAcentral
AUUGAACGCUGGCGGCAGGCCUAACACAUGCAAGUCGAGCGGAUGAAGGGAGCUUGCUCCUGGAUUCAGCGGCGGACGGGUGAGUAAUGCCUAGGAAUCUGCCUGGUAGUGGGGGAUAACGUCCGGAAACGGGCGCUAAUACCGCAUACGUCCUGAGGGAGAAAGUGGGGGAUCUUCGGACCUCACGCUAUCAGAUGAGCCUAGGUCGGAUUAGCUAGUUGGUGGGGUAAAGGCCUACCAAGGCGCCGAUCCGUAACUGGUCUGAGAGGAUGAUCAGUCACACUGGAACUGAGACACGGUCCAGACUCCUACGGGAGGCAGCAGUGGGGAAUAUUGGACAAUGGGCGAAAGCCUGAUCCAGCCAUGCCGCGUGCGUGAAGAAGGUCUUCGGAUUGUAAAGCACUUUAAGUUGGGAGGAAGGGCAGUAAGUUAAUACCUUGCUGUUUUGACGUUACCAACAGAAUAAGCACCGGCUAACUUCGUG